The sequence is a ribosomal RNA, 2905 nucleotides long. It matches the Rfam family "Bacterial large subunit ribosomal RNA".
GUUAUAUGGUCAAGCGACUAAGCGCACACGGUGGAUGCCUUGGCGGUCAGAGGCGAUGAAAGACGUGGCAGCCUGCGAAAAGCGUCGGGGAGCUGGCAACAAGCUUUGAUCCGGCGAUGUCUGAAUGGGGAAACCCACCUCUUCGGAGGUACUGCAUGGUGAAUACAUAGCCAUGCAGGGCGAACGCGGUGAACUGAAAUAUCUAAGUAACCGUAGGAAAAGAAAUCAACCGAGAUUCCCUUAGUAGUGACGAGCGAACGGGGACUAGCCCAAAAGUUGUGCAUGCUUUAGGAAAAUGGACUGGAAAGUCCAGCCGUAGAAGGUGAUAGCCCUGUAUUCGAAAGGGCAUGCAUGAUGAUAAGUGAGUAGGGCGGGGCACGAGAAACCCUGUCUGAACAUGGGGGGACCAUCCUCCAAGGCUAAAUACUCCUGACCGACCGAUAGUGAACCAGUACCGUGAGGGAAAGGCGAAAAGAACCCCGGCGAGGGGAGUGAAAUAGACCCUGAAACCGUGUGCGUACAAGCAGUGGGAGCCCCUUCGUGGGGUGACUGCGUACCUUUUGUAUAAUGGGUCAGCGACUUAUUGUUUGUGGCAAGCUUAACCGUAUAGGGGAGGCGAAGGGAAACCGAGUCUGAAUAGGGCGAAUAGUCGCAGGCAAUAGACCCGAAACCGGGUGAUCUAGCCAUGUCCAGGGUGAAGGUUGAGUAACAUCAACUGGAGGCCCGAACCCACGUCUGUUGCAAAAGACGGGGAUGAGGUGUGGCUAGGAGUGAAAAGCUAAUCGAACCCGGAGAUAGCUGGUUCUCCUCGAAAGCUAUUUAGGUAGCGCCUCGUGUAUCACUGCUGGGGGUAGAGCACUGUUAUGGCUAGGGGGUCAUUGCGACUUACCAAACCAUGGCAAACUCCGAAUACCAGCAAGUGUCAGCACGGGAGACACACGGCGGGUGCUAACGUCCGUCGUGAAAAGGGAAACAACCCAGACCCACAGCUAAGGUCCCAAAUUUACUGCUCAGUGGGAAACGAUGUGGAAAGGCACAGACAGCCAGGAGGUUGGCUUAGAAGCAGCCACCCUUUAAAGAAAGCGUAAUAGCUCACUGGUCGAGUCGGUCUGCGCGGAAGAUUUAACGGGGCUUAAGCAGUAAACCGAAGCUUGGGGUGUGCAUCUUUUGAUGUACGCGGUAGAGGAGCGUUCCGUAGGCCGUUGAAGGCAGAUUGAGAAGUCUGCUGGAGGUAUCGGAAGUGCGAAUGCUGACAUGAGUAACGAUAAUGGGGGUGAAAAGCCUCCACGCCGAAAGCCCAAGGUUUCCUUGCACAACGUUAAUCGGUGCAGGGUGAGUCGGCCCCUAAGGCGAGGCAGAAAUGCGUAGUCGAUGGGAAGCUGGUUAAUAUUCCAGCACCUCGCGUAAGUGCGAUGGGGGGACGGAGAAGGCUAGGUCUACCGGGCGUUGGUUGUCCCGGGGAAAGGAGGUAGGUGGGUCCCUUAGGCAAAUCCGGGGGAUCAUUCAACACCGAGCACUGAUGACGAGCUCUAUUGAGCGAAGUGACUGAUGCCACGCUUCCAGGAAAAGCCUCUAAGCUUCAGCUUACGCAGACCGUACCGCAAACCGACACAGGUGGGCAGGAUGAGAAUUCUAAGGCGCUUGAGAGAACUCGGGUGAAGGAACUAGGCAAAUUGGCACCGUAACUUCGGGAGAAGGUGCACCCCUGAUGGUGGCUCAUGCGAGCUAUAGCUGUCGGGGGUCGCAGUGACCAGGCCGCUGCGACUGUUUAUCAAAAACACAGCACUCUGCAAACACGAAAGUGGACGUAUAGGGUGUGACGCCUGCCCGGUGCCGGAAGGUUAAUUGAUGGGGUCAGCCGCAAGGCGAAGCUCUUGAUCGAAGCCCCGGUAAACGGCGGCCGUAACUAUAACGGUCCUAAGGUAGCGAAAUUCCUUGUCGGGUAAGUUCCGACCUGCACGAAUGGCGUAACGACAGCGGCGCUGUCUCCACCCGAGACUCAGUGAAAUUGAAAUCGCUGUGAAGAUGCAGCGUUCCCGUGGCAAGACGGAAAGACCCCGUGAACCUUUACUAUAGCUUCACACUGAACGUUGAGUUCGUCUGUGUAGGAUAGGUGGGAGGCUUUGAAGUGUGGACGCCAGUCUGCAUGGAGCCAUCCUUGAAAUACCACCCUGUCGUGCUUGACGUUCUAACCUAGGCCCGUUAUCCGGGUCGGGGACCGUGUGUGGUGGGUAGUUUGACUGGGGCGGUCUCCUCCCAAAGAGUAACGGAGGAGCUCGAAGGUACGCUCAGCGCGGUCGGACAUCGCGCACUGUGUGCAAAGGCAUAAGCGUGCUUGACUGCGAGAUCGACGGAUCAAGCAGGUACGAAAGUAGGACUUAGUGAUCCGGUGGUUCUGUAUGGAAGGGCCAUCGCUCAACGGAUAAAAGGUACUCCGGGGAUAACAGGCUGAUACCGCCCAAGAGUUCAUAUCGACGGCGGUGUUUGGCACCUCGAUGUCGGCUCAUCACAUCCUGGGGCUGUAGUCGGUCCCAAGGGUAUGGCUGUUCGCCAUUUAAAGUGGUACGCGAGCUGGGUUCAGAACGUCGUGAGACAGUUCGGUCCCUAUCUGCCAUGGGCGUUGGAGGUUUGAGAGGGGCUGCUCCUAGUACGAGAGGACCGGAGUGGACGAACCCCUGGUGUUCCGGUUAUCACGCCAGUGGUAUUGCCGGGUAGCUACGUUCGGAAACGAUAACCGCUGAAAGCAUCUAAGCGGGAAGCGUGCCUCAAGAUGAGACCUCCCGGGAGCUUGACUCCCCUGAAGGAACGAUCAAGACUAGGUCGUUGAUAGGCUGGGUGUGUAAGUACAGCAAUGUAUUGAGCUAACCAGUACUAAUGAUCCGUGAGGCUUGGCCAUAUAACCUCA